UGCCAGCCGCCGCGGUAAUACAUAGGGGUCAAGCGUUGUUCGGAAUCACUGGGCGUAAAGCGUGUGUAGGUGGUUGAAAAAGUUAGUGGUGAAAUCCCAGAGCUUAACUCUGGAACUGCCAUCAAAACUUUUCAGCUAGAGUAUGAUAGAGGAAAGCAGAAUUUCUAGUGUAGAGGUGAAAUUCGUAGAUAUUAGAAAGAGUACCAAUUGCGAAGGCAGCUUUCUGGAUCAUUACUGACACUGAGGAACGAAAGCAUGGGUAGCGAAGAGGAUUAGAUA
This 279-nucleotide ribosomal RNA is filed under the name uncultured bacterium. RNAcentral describes it as "partial 16S ribosomal RNA". It matches the Rfam family "Bacterial small subunit ribosomal RNA", at positions 506 to 784 of the family's 1533-position model. The record is from RNAcentral.